RNAcentral lists this ribosomal RNA (777 nucleotides) under uncultured Neocallimastigales. Its description in RNAcentral is "partial large subunit ribosomal RNA". It matches the Rfam family "Eukaryotic large subunit ribosomal RNA", at positions 20 to 637 of the family's 3401-position model. Lineage: Eukaryota; Fungi; Neocallimastigomycota; Neocallimastigomycetes; Neocallimastigales. The record is from RNAcentral.
ACUAGAGUAGCACUCGCAUAUCAAUAAGCGGAGGAAAAGAAACUAACAAGGAUUCCCCUAGUAACGGCGAGUGAAGCGGGAAGAGCUCAAAUUUGAAGUCUUAAAGGGUUUCCCUUUACGAAUUGUAGUUUAAAGAAGUGUUUUCUGUUGAGGUCUUGGUAAAAGUUCUUUGGAAUAGGACAUCAUAGAGGGUGAGAAUCCCGUAUUUGACCUUUACUUUCAACUUUGUGAUACACUUUCAAAGAGUCGGAUUGUUUGGGAAUGCAGUCCAAAAAUGGGUGGUAAAUUUCAUCUAAAGCUAAAUAUUGGCGAGAGACCGAUAGCGAACAAGUACCGUGAGGGAAAGAUGAAAAGAACUUUGAAAGGAGAGUUAAACAGUACGUGAAAUUGUCAAAAGGGAAGCGUUUGACACCAGUGUUGUUUUUUCUGAAAAUCAAUUAAAGAACUGUUUAUGCUAAGCUGUUUAGACUUUAUCAGCUAUCUGCUUUAGUUUUGAGCUUUUCUUUAAUGCACUUUUCAGUUAACAAGUCAACAUCAAUUUCUUUUGCUGUAGAAAAAGCUUGAGGAAGGUGGCUUGAGAUUCGUCUUAAGUGUUUAUAGCCUCUUGCCUAUGCAGUCGGAGAGAUUGAGGUCUGCAGCGUAGAUCCUUCGGGGCUAAAUGCAUUUGUGCUAAGUUAUAGCAUUUUAUAGACAACUUGUUGACUAUGAUUUGUCUUGUAGCUUACUCGCUUAUGUUAUUUUACCUACGCUUAGGAUGUUGAGCGCAUGUCUCUCUCU